GUGUAUAUAGUCUUGGUGGUCAACCAGAACCAUGGACAGCUCGGCAAAAGGAAGUAAAAAGGAUGCGCCUGAUGGACCACCAAAAGACUCGAAGAUGCCUGUCAGCGAGGCACUUCUGGACUACCAUCGUGAAAUAAAGGAGAAUGCAGUGGAGCGAUUCACAUUCCACAUCAGGAAGCUGAGGGACAAGAAUCAAAAAUACCUUGAAAGGAACAGACGCUUGAAAGAGGAACAGAACUGGCACUUAAAGAAUCUCAUAAAAGAACUGAAGGAUGAGAAGCUGGAUGUUGUACAACCCAUAACAAGAGAGGACGUGGAGGAGGCAAUGAAGGAAAAAUGGAAGUUUGAAAGAGACCAGGAGGCUCACUUGAAAGGUGAGCUAGGAACUUAGAAAGUUGUCACAAGUGUUAUACUCAUUUGUGAGUUAAUGCCUUUGCCUUUCAGUGUGUGAUUGUAUUUAAGAUUAUAUCAUCUCCUCCACAGCCACAG
This 489-nucleotide long non-coding RNA is filed under the name Rattus norvegicus (Norway rat). Its description in RNAcentral is "long non-coding RNA NONRATT031417". Lineage: Eukaryota; Metazoa; Chordata; Mammalia; Rodentia; Muridae. The record is from RNAcentral.